UUCCCGAGAUAAUGAGUGGAAAUCUGUCAGUUAUUUUAUAGGAUGCUUAAAAUGACUACAACUUCAGCGGGAGAUUUCAGGAUCGCAGCAGCCUAGAGCGCAGCCAACCGGGCUCCCACAGGAAGGCAGAGGAGAGGACGGGGGGAAUAGCGGAGGCAGAAAAUGAAUACAGACAAUUGUUUUUCAUCAGCUGAGAUGGAGCAGGGACACGAUCAAACAGGACUGAGACAAAUUAGAUAACAGAGGAAGGAGACUGAAAGACAGCCGUGCCUGCUGUUCCCAUCACUGCUCUGUCUUGUGAACGUAUUUGUAGUUUUAACCAUGAGCUGGCUCCUAAUGGUGUUUUUUUUUUGUAUUUUGCCCCCUCUGCCCUCCCCAUAGCUUCAGCUGGAGAAGCAGGUUUCACUAUUUGCAGCCACAUCUGUUUAGAGUGGCGGUUCCCCGCGUGAGUUCGUGGCCUUUAAAUCUCCAUUUUUGUGUUUACUCACUAAAUGCAAAUGCGUUAAGGAGAGCCCUUUCAUCGCGGAAUUAACUUUCCGGUCAUACUACAACCCUGAGUCGACAGAAGUUAAGAAAUGUGACAUUCUGAGGCUUUUUCUCCAUCUAUUAUUAACACCGGUGUUCUGGAUCUAGGAAACCUCGGGGCGUUUGGCCUCUUUGUCAUAUAUGAUUUUCCCUGACAAGUGUCCAGGUAAGCGCUGUCUGCCACACUCUCCUGCAAGCUCCUCCGCCCCCAUAGGUGGAGUAAUUGGUGUCAGACAGUUUUGCUUCUUACACUUCUCAUUUGGAGGAAGAAAAAAAAAAGAAAACCUGCCUGAUGCGCUGCUGUGUUCCAGCUUGGCUUGGCAGUCAUUCCAGCUAAAGGGCCACACUUUAACAGAGCAUUUCAUCACCCGGCGCGGACUGCAAACUGAUUUCAGUCAGGCGGCAGCAUCCUCCUCUUCAGGUUCUGCUCAAGCAUGAAAAUCACCUACGAGCUGAGCAGCUUGCUGCUGCAGGAAACCAGUGCAAAACCUCCAGUGCUCUUUGCUAUAAACUCUGGACACCUGACGAACAGGUCGACUCCCAAAAUGCUCCAGAAAUUUCCAGUAUCAUCAGUCCCAUGGGUUUGUUUUGGUCACUGUGAGAGCACUGAUGAAUUUGUCCGGUAAAAUAAAUAAAAUAUCACAACGACUGAUAUUCAAAAUCCUUGACAGACAAUAUGAAAGGUGUUGCUCAUACCAAUU
Long non-coding RNA from Oreochromis aureus, 1226 nucleotides. The record is from Ensembl. Lineage: Eukaryota; Metazoa; Chordata; Actinopteri; Cichliformes; Cichlidae.